This 497-nucleotide ribosomal RNA is filed under the name uncultured bacterium. Its description in RNAcentral is "partial 16S ribosomal RNA". It matches the Rfam family "Bacterial small subunit ribosomal RNA", at positions 28 to 507 of the family's 1533-position model. The record is from RNAcentral.
GAUGAACGCUGGCGGCGUGCCUAAUACAUGCAAGUCGAGCGAACAGAUAAGGAGCUUGCUCCUUUGAAGUUAGCGGCGGACGGGUGAGUAACACGUGGGUAACCUACCUAUAAGACUGGGAUAACUUCGGGAAACCGGAGCUAAUACCGGAUAACAUUUAGAACCGCAUGGUUCUAAAGUGAAAGAUGGUUUUGCUAUCACUUAUAGAUGGACCCGCGCCGUAUUAGCUAGUUGGUAAGGUAACGGCUUACCAAGGCGACGAUACGUAGCCGACCUGAGAGGGUGAUCGGCCACACUGGAACUGAGACACGGUCCAGACUCCUACGGGAGGCAGCAGUAGGGAAUCUUCCGCAAUGGGCGAAAGCCUGACGGAGCAACGCCGCGUGAGUGAUGAAGGGUUUCGGCUCGUAAAACUCUGUUAUUAGGGAAGAACAGAUGUGUAAGUAACUGUGCACAUCUUGACGGUACCUAAUCAGAAAGCCACGGCUAACUACGUG